UCGUGUGUUCUAGAAAGGAGCAGGAGCUCUCAUGAGAGCUCAAGAAACCCUAAACGUGAAGAAUCAUCAAAUCGAAGGGCAAAUCAAGGUCUAAAUUCAUGAAUGAACACGGAUUAAUGAUCACCUUCACAAGGGGAUUGUAAGUAUAGGGAUCAUGUCAAGAUGGAUGGAAGCAUGGAAGGUUAACGGGUCAAAAAGAGGCGAGGAAACAGAUGCGAAUACGAACACUAAAGGUUGUACGAGUCACGAGGAUCUUCAAGGAUUAGAGAUCGAGGAUCGAGUCACAAGACAGAUUGUACGGAAACGUUGGUGUUGAAAUUUAGAAAACCCAUGUCAUGCAUUUAAUUGUAAAUGAGUCAAUUGAUGACUUCAUGUGAAAAGGUUGUAUUAAAAUGAAGUUUUAAGUAAGUCAAGGUAAUUAUAAGGAAAGAAAGUUUAUGGCU
Molecule: long non-coding RNA, 443 nt
Organism: Helianthus annuus (common sunflower)
Lineage: Eukaryota; Viridiplantae; Streptophyta; Magnoliopsida; Asterales; Asteraceae
Exons: 3
Source: RefSeq, a predicted model, not a curated record